This 2787-nucleotide ribosomal RNA is filed under the name Escherichia coli. RNAcentral's name for it is "bacterial LSU rRNA". It matches the Rfam family "Bacterial large subunit ribosomal RNA". The record is from RNAcentral. Lineage: Bacteria; Pseudomonadati; Pseudomonadota; Gammaproteobacteria; Enterobacterales; Enterobacteriaceae.
AGCGUACACGGUGGAUGCCCUGGCAGUCAGAGGCGAUGAAGGACGUGCUAAUCUGCGAUAAGCGUCGGUAAGGUGAUAUGAACCGUUAUAACCGGCGAUUUCCGAAUGGGGAAACCCAGUGUGUUUCGACACACUAUCAUUAACUGAAUCCAUAGGUUAAUGAGGCGAACCGGGGGAACUGAAACAUCUAAGUACCCCGAGGAAAAGAAAUCAACCGAGAUUCCCCCAGUAGCGGCGAGCGAACGGGGAGCAGCCCAGAGUCUGAAUCAGUGUGUGUGUUAGUGGAAGCGUCUGGAAAGGCGCGCGAUACAGGGUGACAGCCCCGUACACAAAAAUGCACAUAUUGUGAGCUCGAUGAGUAGGGCGGGACACGUGGUAUCCUGUCUGAAUAUGGGGGGACCAUCCUCCAAGGCUAAAUACUCCUGACUGACCGAUAGUGAACCAGUACCGUGAGGGAAAGGCGAAAAGAACCCCGGCGAGGGGAGUGAAAAAGAACCUGAAACCGUGUACGUACAAGCAGUGGGAGCACGCUUAGGCGUGUGACUGCGUACCUUUUGUAUAAUGGGUCAGCGACUUAUAUUCUGUAGCAAGGUUAACCGAAUAGGGGAGCCGAAGGGAAACCGAGUCUUAACUGGGCGUUAAGUUGCAGGGUAUAGACCCGAAACCCGGUGAUCUAGCCAUGGGCAGGUUGAAGGUUGGGUAACACUAACUGGAGGACCGAACCGACUAAUGUUGAAAAAUUAGCGGAUGACUUGUGGCUGGGGGUGAAAGGCCAAUCAAACCGGGAGAUAGCUGGUUCUCCCCGAAAGCUAUUUAGGUAGCGCCUCGUGAACUCAUCUCCGGGGGUAGAGCACUGUUUCGGCAAGGGGGUCAUCCCGACUUACCAACCCGAUGCAAACUGCGAAUACCGGAGAAUGUUAUCACGGGAGACACACGGCGGGUGCUAACGUCCGUCGUGAAGAGGGAAACAACCCAGACCGCCAGCUAAGGUCCCAAAGUCAUGGUUAAGUGGGAAACGAUGUGGGAAGGCCCAGACAGCCAGGAUGUUGGCUUAGAAGCAGCCAUCAUUUAAAGAAAGCGUAAUAGCUCACUGGUCGAGUCGGCCUGCGCGGAAGAUGUAACGGGGCUAAACCAUGCACCGAAGCUGCGGCAGCGACGCUUAUGCGUUGUUGGGUAGGGGAGCGUUCUGUAAGCCUGUGAAGGUGUGCUGUGAGGCAUGCUGGAGGUAUCAGAAGUGCGAAUGCUGACAUAAGUAACGAUAAAGCGGGUGAAAAGCCCGCUCGCCGGAAGACCAAGGGUUCCUGUCCAACGUUAAUCGGGGCAGGGUGAGUCGACCCCUAAGGCGAGGCCGAAAGGCGUAGUCGAUGGGAAACAGGUUAAUAUUCCUGUACUUGGUGUUACUGCGAAGGGGGGACGGAGAAGGCUAUGUUGGCCGGGCGACGGUUGUCCCGGUUUAAGCGUGUAGGCUGGUUUUCCAGGCAAAUCCGGAAAAUCAAGGCUGAGGCGUGAUGACGAGGCACUACGGUGCUGAAGCAACAAAUGCCCUGCUUCCAGGAAAAGCCUCUAAGCAUCAGGUAACAUCAAAUCGUACCCCAAACCGACACAGGUGGUCAGGUAGAGAAUACCAAGGCGCUUGAGAGAACUCGGGUGAAGGAACUAGGCAAAAUGGUGCCGUAACUUCGGGAGAAGGCACGCUGAUAUGUAGGUGAAGUCCCUUGCGGAUGGAGCUGAAAUCAGUCGAAGAUACCAGCUGGCUGCAACUGUUUAUUAAAAACACAGCACUGUGCAAACACGAAAGUGGACGUAUACGGUGUGACGCCUGCCCGGUGCCGGAAGGUUAAUUGAUGGGGUCAGCGCAAGCGAAGCUCUUGAUCGAAGCCCCGGUAAACGGCGGCCGUAACUAUAACGGUCCUAAGGUAGCGAAAUUCCUUGUCGGGUAAGUUCCGACCUGCACGAAUGGCGUAAUGAUGGCCAGGCUGUCUCCACCCGAGACUCAGUGAAAUUGAACUCGCUGUGAAGAUGCAGUGUACCCGCGGCAAGACGGAAAGACCCCGUGAACCUUUACUAUAGCUUGACACUGAACAUUGAGCCUUGAUGUGUAGGAUAGGUGGGAGGCUUAGAAGUGUGGACGCCAGUCUGCAUGGAGCCGGCCUUGAAAUACCACCCUUUAAUGUUUGAUGUUCUAACGUUGGCCCCUGAUCGGGGUUGCGGACAGUGUCUGGUGGGUAGUUUGACUGGGGCGGUCUCCUCCUAAAGAGUAACGGAGGAGCACGAAGGUUGGCUAAUCCUGGUCGGACAUCAGGAGGUUAGUGCAAUGGCAUAAGCCAGCUUGACUGCGAGCGUGACGGCGCGAGCAGGUGCGAAAGCAGGUCAUAGUGAUCCGGUGGUUCUGAAUGGAAGGGCCAUCGCUCAACGGAUAAAAGGUACUCCGGGGAUAACAGGCUGAUACCGCCCAAGAGUUCAUAUCGACGGCGGUGUUUGGCACCUCGAUGUCGGCUCAUCACAUCCUGGGGCUGAAGUAGGUCCCAAGGGUAUGGCUGUUCGCCAUUUAAAGUGGUACGCGAGCUGGGUUUAGAACGUCGUGAGACAGUUCGGUCCCUAUCUGCCGUGGGCGCUGGAGAACUGAGGGGGGCUGCUCCUAGUACGAGAGGACCGGAGUGGACGCAUCACUGGUGUUCGGGUUGUCAUGCCAAUGGCACUGCCCGGUAGCUAAAUGCGGAAGAGAUAAGUGCUGAAAGCAUCUAAGCACGAAACUUGCCCCGAGAUGAGUUCUCCCUGACUCCUUGA